GGCACCUAGGGUGUUUUUUUGUUUAACUUGUGGACAAAAACUCAUAGAAAGUGCAAAAAAUCCUCUUUUGCAGCCCAGAACUCAUUGUCCAGUGUAAGUUUUGGUACAUGUAAGAAGGAAUAUG
Molecule: small nucleolar RNA, 124 nt
Filed under: Castor canadensis (American beaver)
Lineage: Eukaryota; Metazoa; Chordata; Mammalia; Rodentia; Castoridae
Description: Small nucleolar RNA SNORA40 (ENSCCNG00000016043.1)
Rfam family: Small nucleolar RNA SNORA40
About the family: The snoRNA ACA 40 belongs to the H/ACA family of snoRNAs and guides the pseudouridylation of 28S rRNA subunit at position U4565.
Source: Rfam by way of RNAcentral